AGUCGAGGGCGGAGCAGGUCCUUUUCGCUAAAUUCAUUCAGUCGUAUUUAUUGAGCGCCCACUGUGUAAUAAAAAGAGCUCAAGAUGUUUGCUCUGCUGCCGGCCCCUCCCUCGGGAAUAAAAUUCUUGGAGGCUUCACGCUCUUAAGGCAGGGCAGCACGUGCAUCCCAGUGCGUGCACCUCGCCAGCGAGCUCUACUGUACAUGCUCCGUCGGUGGAUACUGCUCCCAGAGACACUUUCAAAGGGUGAAGACUCUCCCAGCUAUAAGCCAUUUAGCAGUCAGGUGAGCUGUCACCUGCAACAGCCAGGACUCAUCUGUCUCCAGGGAAGAGUCAGAGUUCAAGUGUCAGCUCCAAGAACAUCCCAGCGUUCCUCGCUCCUGUCAGGAUGCUUCCAGCUGGUUCACCUGAGAAU
Molecule: long non-coding RNA, 415 nt
Organism: Ornithorhynchus anatinus (platypus)
Lineage: Eukaryota; Metazoa; Chordata; Mammalia; Monotremata; Ornithorhynchidae
Exons: 3
Source: RefSeq, a predicted model, not a curated record